UACGUAGGGUGCGAGCGUUAAUCGGAAUUACUGGGCGUAAAGCGUGCGCAGGCGGUUUAGUUAAGAUAGGCGUAGAAACUCCCGGGCUCAACCUGGGAACUGCGUUUAUGACUGGCAGGCUAGAGUAUGGCAGAGGGGGUGGAAUUCCACGUGUAGCAGUGAAAUGCGUAGAGGAUGUCGGAGGAACACCGGAUGGCGAAGGCAGCCCC
This 209-nucleotide ribosomal RNA is filed under the name uncultured bacterium. RNAcentral describes it as "partial 16S ribosomal RNA". It matches the Rfam family "Bacterial small subunit ribosomal RNA", at positions 524 to 728 of the family's 1533-position model. The record is from RNAcentral.